This 213-nucleotide long non-coding RNA is filed under the name Lathyrus oleraceus (garden pea). RNAcentral describes it as "Pisum sativum (pea) long non-coding RNA (PSAT_LNC023120)". The record is from RNAcentral. Lineage: Eukaryota; Viridiplantae; Streptophyta; Magnoliopsida; Fabales; Fabaceae.
UCUUUCUUCCUUUUUUUCUUGGAUGGAUGUGGAAGGUUUAAGGUUUAGUUGUUGUUCUUUAGUGUGAAGAGAAACAACAUUUAGGUAAUUGAUUUGUAAAGUGUGCAUGGAUGUUGAAAUUUGAUAGUGAUGAAAUUUUUUUUUACUGUUUUUUCGUGUAAUAUAUACAAGUUGAAGUCUCCUCCUGGUGUGUAGAAAUUGAGUCAAUUUAUA